CGAGCGCAACCCUCGACCUUAGUUGCCAGCAUUCAGUUGGGCACUCUAAGGUGACUGCCGGCUAAAAGUCGGAGGAAGGUGGGGAUGACGUCAAAUCAUCAUGCCCCUUAUGACCUGGGCUACACACGUGCUACAAUGGGCGGUACAAAGGGUCGCGAACCCGCGAGGGGGAGCCAAUCCCAAAAAGCCGCUCUCAGUUCGGAUUGCAGGCUGCAACUCGCCUGCAUGAAGCCGGAAUCGCUAGUAAUCGCGGAUCAGCAUGCCCGCGGUCGAAUACGUUCCGGGCCUU
This 289-nucleotide ribosomal RNA is filed under the name uncultured Anoxybacillus sp. RNAcentral's name for it is "partial 16S ribosomal RNA". It matches the Rfam family "Bacterial small subunit ribosomal RNA", at positions 1093 to 1382 of the family's 1533-position model. The record is from RNAcentral. Lineage: Bacteria; Bacillati; Bacillota; Bacilli; Caryophanales; Anoxybacillaceae.